Molecule: long non-coding RNA, 516 nt
Organism: Rosa rugosa (rugosa rose)
Lineage: Eukaryota; Viridiplantae; Streptophyta; Magnoliopsida; Rosales; Rosaceae
Exons: 3
Source: RefSeq, a predicted model, not a curated record
AGGGAAGAAAAAAGUAAAGUAGGAGAGCGAGGUUUAAGACGAUUACUUUAGUCAGAAGUACAAUGAGAUUCCGAUUGAUGAGCAAUGCUAAAAUAGUUCUAGGAAAUCCACAAACGAUGAAGGUUGAUUGCCAGGCGAUGUGUCCCUUUCAGAUCAUCCAACAAGGGUUUCUUAGUUUCAAGUUGCCAUGCCAAAAAUCUCCAUGCUUUUGAGUGGCGAUUCAAGCACAUUUUCAGAGGUGACAUACUUCAUUUGCCUUGCACUCUUGCAGAUGUCCCUAAUCACCUGGGGAAUGGUAUUAACUGGAUGGAUGACUUGCAUUCUCUACUUUGCUCCUCCAUAGAAUGAGCAACGAAUUUCAAUUGAUUUGUUUAUGCACAAACCAAAUCCAUUUUGACUUUUUAUGUCUUAUGUUAGUAUUAUUACUCUUACUUUUAUCUUGGAUUUGAACUUCUUUUUGUAUAGCUGUUCUGUUGGUUACUGAUUUACUGGCGAGAUUCAUGGGUAAAUUGUGAA